UAGAUUAGCCAUGCAUGUCUAAGUAUAAGCAAUUAUACAGCGAAACUGCGAAUGGCUCAUUAAAUCAGUUAUCGUUUAUUUGAUAGUACCUUACUACAUGGAUAACCGUGGUAAUUCUAGAGCUAAUACAUGCUGAAAACCCCGACUUCGGAAGGGGUGUAUUUAUUAGAUUAAAAACCAAUGCCCUUCGGGGCUCACUGGUGAUUCAUGAUAACUUCUCGAAUCGCACGGCCUUGCGCCGGCGAUGGUUCAUUCAAAUUUCUGCCCUAUCAACUUUCGACGGCUGGGUCUUGGCCAGCCGUGGUGACAACGGGUAACGGAGGGUUAGGGCUCGACCCCGGAGAAAACGCCUGAGAAACGGCGUUUACAUCCAAGGAAGGCAGCAGGCGCGCAAAUUACCCAAUGCCGACACGGCGAGGUAGUGACGAGAAAUACUGAUACAGGGCUCUUUUGGGUCUUGUAAUUGGAAUGAGUACAAUUUAAAUCUCUUAACGAGGAACAAUUGGAGGGCAAGUCUGGUGAACGUUCCAGUUCCGAUGCUGGUGCCAGAGAUAGCGGUUAAAUAGCCCACGCUAGUCGAGCAUCCGCCAUCAGCGGGAGGAUGCCGGCGAGACAACCUGGAUCGGGGGACGCUAAGGUGCCGAAGGGCGCUAUGCCAAUCCCGAGCGGAGUCCACUGACGGACCCGUGUAGAGCGCGCAAAGGUGUCGGUCCGGCUCGGUCGAGCUGGGCUUAAGGUACGUGCCGAUCCCCCGCGAAAGCGGGGCCGCGUCCAAGAGUGCCCGCUGCACGAAUGGACGUGGUGUCGAG
Molecule: ribosomal RNA, 809 nt
Filed under: Magnaporthiopsis poae
Lineage: Eukaryota; Fungi; Ascomycota; Sordariomycetes; Magnaporthales; Magnaporthaceae
Description: SSU rRNA
Rfam family: Eukaryotic small subunit ribosomal RNA (bases 1-538)
Source: RNAcentral